This 253-nucleotide ribosomal RNA is filed under the name uncultured bacterium. RNAcentral describes it as "partial 16S ribosomal RNA". It matches the Rfam family "Bacterial small subunit ribosomal RNA", at positions 524 to 776 of the family's 1533-position model. The record is from RNAcentral.
UACGGGGGGGGUAAGCGUUGUUCGGAAUUACUGGGCGUAAAGGGCUCGUAGGCGGCCAACUAAGUCGGACGUGAAAUCCCUCAGCUUAACUGGGGAACUGCGUCCGAUACUGGAUGGCUUGGAUUUGGGAGAGGGAAGCGGAAUUUCCGGUGUAGCGGUGAAAUGCGUAGAUAUCGGAAGGAACAUCAGUGGCGAAAGCGGCUUCCUGGUCCAGCACCGACGUUCAGGCACGAAAGCGUGGGGAGCAAACAGG